This 540-nucleotide ribosomal RNA is filed under the name uncultured archaeon. RNAcentral's name for it is "bacterial SSU rRNA". It matches the Rfam family "Bacterial small subunit ribosomal RNA", at positions 509 to 1050 of the family's 1533-position model. The record is from RNAcentral.
CAGCCGCCGCGGUAAUACGUAGGUGGCGAGCGUUGUCCGGAAUUACUGGGUGUAAAGGGAGCGCAGGCGGAAUAGCAAGUCAGUGGUGAAAUGUAUGGGCUUAACCCAUAAAUUGCCGUUGAAACUGUUAUUCUUGAGUGGAGUAGAGGCAAGUGGAAUUCCGAGUGUAGCGGUGAAAUGCGUAGAUAUUCGGAGGAACACCGGUGGCGAAGGCGACUUGCUGGGCUCUAACUGACGCUGAGGCUCGAAAGUGUGGGGAGCAAACAGGAUUAGAUACCCUGGUAGUCCACACCGUAAACGAUGAUAGCUAGGUGUGGGGGGAGCUAUCCCCUCCGUGCCGGAGUUAACGCAUUAAGCUAUCCACCUGGGGAGUACGAUCGCAAGAUUAAAACUCAAAGGAAUUGACGGGGGCCCGCACAAGCAGUGGAUUAUGUGGUUUAAUUCGAAGCAACGCGAAGAACCUUACCAGGUCUUGACAUCAAGUGACGUCUUAAGAGAUUAGGAUUUCCUUCGGGACACGAAGACAGGUGGUGCAUGGCC